This 2091-nucleotide ribosomal RNA is filed under the name Triticum aestivum (bread wheat). RNAcentral's name for it is "partial small subunit ribosomal RNA". The record is from RNAcentral. Lineage: Eukaryota; Viridiplantae; Streptophyta; Magnoliopsida; Poales; Poaceae.
AUGACGACUGGUAUGGUUAAUACUGGCCGUGGAGCUCCUCGCCCUGCACCGCCGGUGGUGCCGGCUCGUAACGCGUCGGCGGCGGGGAUGGCUGCUCUGAGGGCCGAGACGCCGGGGGCCACGGUGGCUGCCGGUGUCGCUGCUGAUCCGGUGGCGGCAACUACCGGGGGUCAGCGUGCACCCCCGCCACACCUUGCGGUUCGUCGGGCGCAGAAUCGUUCGGGGCAGAAUCAGGUUCAGAGUAAUCAGAGUAAUACCAGUGGGAGACCGACUGAUGCACCUCGAGGCAAGUGGGGUGAUGACGGGUUUGAUGCGUAUGGAGUAGGCCAGCAUCGGGGCUCAUCUUCAGCGGGAGGAGGUCGGGGUUAUGCUUGGCAGAGUGACGGGUCUGCAGAGAGACCGUUCCUGGGGCCGGCUGGAGGCUUCGUUGAGGGGGCCUCAGGACCUGAUAACAGGCACAGAGGAGGUUAUCGCGGAUACCGUGGUCGUGGUGGAGGCCGCGGAAGGUUCCGCCGGCCGCCUCCCCCUAGACAUGUUGACUCUGACGGGGCGGCGAUGGAGACUGAUCAGACACCACAGGAGCUACCUCCCCAGGCGAUGGACGUGGUGAAUGCACUUGCGGUUGCUGAGGUUCCUGGGAUUGCGAAGGAGGCUGAGGUGGUUCAAGUGGCUGAUUCUGAGAGGGCAUCCAAGUACGCUCGGAAGAAAGAGAGAAUGCUUUGUUACCGGUGCGGAGAGAAGGGGCACUUCAUCGCGGAGUGUGUGGCCCAGCUGUGCGAAUCCUGUGGUAAGCCUGCGCAUGCCUCAGGGGAUUGUCCUUUGCUGAGGGACCAUAUUCCAGCUCUUACUGUAUAUGGUGUGUACUGUGCGGAGCUGAUGUUCUUCGAGUCAGCGGCUGCGAGGGAGAUCCCAGCUGAUACACAGAGCCUUACUUCUGGUUUGGUCAAGGUGACACAGGGAGAUGUCUCCCAGGCUCAGAUUGUGCAGAGACUUCAGGAGUUGGCUCCGGGUGAUUUUCAGUGGGACCUCGUACCCGUUGAGGAUAGAGUAUUCAGAGUGGAGUUUCCUUCGAUUGAGGACUUGCAGCGUUUGUUGAGCUUUGGGAUGUGUAAGGUGCCAGGCACCAAAGGUAUUUUGGAGUUCCACGAGUGGAAGAAAGUUGAGCCUAAGGGGAAGCCUCUUACUCAGGUGUGGCUGCGUUUCUCGGGGGCACCGUCUGAGGCUCUUUCUGAUGUGCGUGUGGUGGCUAGUUUGGGGAUUAUGGUUGGUAAGACGGAGAAAGUGGAUAUGGCGUUCACUAGAGCUCAGGGGGUGGCUCGACUGCGAGUUAGCAUUCUGGAUAUUGAGUAUGUCCCGGACGUCAUCAACUGGACCUAUAGAGGCGAGGUGUUUCCACUUGAUAUUGAGUUUGAGGAUGCAGAGUUGUUUGCUGAGGUUGCUGCUGGCACUGACGUGGAUAUGCACGAUGGGGGUGAUGAUACAGGUGCUCCCAGGGAGCAGGCGGAUGAGGCAGCACAGGAGCCCAAUGGAUCGGGGCCUGCUGCUCAGGAGCCAGAGAACGGAGCCGGGAUGGAGCAGUCCCCGGCUUCGUCUUUGCCUCAUAACUCACUGCGGUUUGGAUCUUUUCUGCCGUCGUCGGCGCCUCCUCGUCUGUGGAGUGAUCGGGUUGACUCUGACGAUGCGUUCGAGCAUUCGCUACCGGUCUUGGACUUUGGGCGGUCACCCCGGCAGUCGGCCAGCUUCAGUGCCCGUGUUGUUCAAGAGGUGGAGCCUCAGGAGUCGCCAGGGCGAUCUAGGUCUUCGGUUUCCUCGCGGAGGGGAGGGGCGUCUGGGCAGGUGGCCACGACUCCCUCUCAUUCGUCUGUUUCACAGCAGGCGGCGCAGGUACCUGUGUCCAGCCGGGGCGACAUAUCUUUGGGGCAGGAGGCCCUGGAGGUCCGUCUCGCGGGAGCCUCGUUGGUGGUGGGGUCGCCGGAGGUGCUAGGCAGGCGUCAGGGGCAGGUGGCCCCUGACCCUCUAGUACCGACGGCGGUCCUGCAGGUGGAGCGCACGGCUGCCACGGCGUCGGCUGGGGGGGUCGGACUAGGGUAG